UUUGCCCUACGGGACGCAGCAGUGGGGAAUAUUGCACAAUGGGGGAAACCCUGAUGCAGCGACGCCGCGUGAGUGAAGAAGUAUCUCGGUACGUAAAGCUCUAUCAGCAGGGAAGAAAAUGACGGUACCUGACUAAGAAGCCCCGGCUAACUACGUGCCAGCAGCCGCGGUAAUACGUAGGGGGCAAGCGUUAUCCGGAUUUACUGGGUGUAAAGGAAGCGUAGACGGCUGUGCAAGUCUGAGGUGAAAGCCCGUGGCUCAACCGCGGAACUGCUUUGGAAACUGUAUAGCUUGAGUACUGGAGA
RNAcentral lists this ribosomal RNA (305 nucleotides) under uncultured bacterium. Its description in RNAcentral is "bacterial SSU rRNA". It matches the Rfam family "Bacterial small subunit ribosomal RNA", at positions 333 to 655 of the family's 1533-position model. The record is from RNAcentral.